Molecule: ribosomal RNA, 47 nt
Filed under: Russula graminea
Lineage: Eukaryota; Fungi; Basidiomycota; Agaricomycetes; Russulales; Russulaceae
Description: partial 28S ribosomal RNA
Source: RNAcentral
UCUUGACCUCAAAUCGGGUGAGACUACCCGCUGAACUUAAGCAUAUC